AACGAACGCUGGCGGCAUGCCUAACACAUGCAAGUCGAACGAGACCUUCGGGUCUAGUGGCGCACGGGUGAGUAACGCGUGGAAACCUGCCCUUAGGGUCGGAAUAACUCCCCGAAAUGGGGGCUAAUACCGGAUAUUGUCUUCGGGACAAAGAUUUAUCGGCGUUGGAUGGGCCCUGGUUGGUUUAGCUAGGUGGUAGGGAAAAAGCCUACCAAGGCGACGAUCCAUAGCUGGUCUGAGAGGAUGGUCAGCCACACUGGGACUGAGACACGGCCCAGACUCCUACGGGAAGCAGCAGUGGGGAAUAUUGGACAAUGGGCGAAAGCCUGAUCCAGCAAUGCCGCGUGAGUGAUGAAGGCCUUAGGGUUGUAAAGCUCUUUUACCCGGGAUGAUAAUGACAGUACCGUGAGAAUAAGCCCCGGCUAACUCCGUG
This 433-nucleotide ribosomal RNA is filed under the name uncultured bacterium. RNAcentral describes it as "partial 16S ribosomal RNA". It matches the Rfam family "Bacterial small subunit ribosomal RNA", at positions 29 to 507 of the family's 1533-position model. The record is from RNAcentral.